Long non-coding RNA from Monomorium pharaonis (pharaoh ant), 5560 nucleotides. RefSeq lists it as uncharacterized. The record is from RefSeq and is a predicted model, not a curated record. The transcript is spliced from 2 exons. NCBI's taxonomy places the organism in Eukaryota, Metazoa, Arthropoda, Insecta, Hymenoptera, Formicidae.
UCAAAUAAUUUGCUUGGUUGAAUUAUUCUAAAAAAAUGCAUAAAUUUCUUUGAAUUUAAGAAAAAAAUGUUAAAUCCGAAACAAAAUUUUCUUCAGUAUAUAAAUCUUGUUUUCACUGAACGUUACACAGAAAAUGACCGAGAUAAUUUUGACGCGCCAUUUAGUGUGAAAGUGAGACUGAUCUAUGUACGAGCGUUUUCCUCGCACUCAUACGUAAUUUAAUUUAAGUUAAUAUUUCCCAACGCUGUUUAGCAAUAUCAGGGCGAUGUAAGGGUCUUAAACGUCCACCGAGACGACCGUUUAUCGAGUCAACCCCUUCACACCUCUGUCCUUUUCCGUUUCCCUCCGAUUUCCCAUGCGUCUCACCUUUCUUUUUUAAACUGUCUCGCAAACGUUUUGCAAAUUGAACGUCUAAGAACGCGUUUCACAGUCUGAGAAAAAUCUGAACGAAAUUAAGAGUAGGUUUAGACUGGGAAGAGAGUCGCUCGCGUGACGUGCCUUAAAAAAAUAAUAUGAUUAGAAACUUGCAUAUGUUAUAAUAAAAUUUUCGUUAUCAUCAAUUAGAUUUAUGGAUGUAGAACGGACACGAGAUUUUUUAAGUAUUCACACACGAAGUGCUCGAGUGAAACCAAAAUCCGAUUCCUGAUAAAUCGGAAUUAUAUCGAAAUUUGCAUUCACUUACAAUUCUAGCGCGUUCUGCCAAUCAAAAUAGUCUGUAGUAUCGUUGUUUACCGUUUGCACAGUCUGUAUCGGACUUUCGGCUUACAUCGAUUGCCCGAACAGCGACAACAUCCUCGACAGAGGGACAGUAUUCGAGAUAGAAUCAUACACAUAUAUACGCCCCCUCCCCCCACACACACACGAAAAUAAAAAACAAAUAAUCAAAGACGAUCCUUGCUAAUGUUUCUCUUUAUGUAACUUUAUAUGUUUUUUUAAGCUUACCAAACUACCGAAUGCCGAAUAAAUUUUCAGUCUUCAAACACAGUUAUAAUUUAAAUAAGAAUAGUAAUAUUAAAUUUGGAAAUUGAAUACGUUAAAUAAGUGAAAAUAAAUAAGUGCAAAUAAAUAAAAAAUGAUAUGUAUAUAUGUAUAUAUGGAAUAUAUCACAAUACUUAUUUCGGAUUUUUUGGAUAUACACUUCUACAUAUUUCACUAUAAAGUUAUUUUUAAAUUCUUUUCUUUUGACGACGACCGAAAUAAUUUAGGGAUAAAGUGUUAAAAUAGAAAAGCGGAAGAAUUGAAAGAGGUCGUUACACUUCAUUUCGCACUUAUUUUUCAAUAACGCUGCGAAAAUUGAACUUAAUUACUUCGCGAUUAAUAGAUGUCGGAAGUUUAUGUUUUUUUCAAUCUUCUCGGUAGCGCAGUUCGGUGUGGCAUAUUAUUUAUUGAAGACUAUUCAGCGGGAAAUGACGGGGAACGCAUCGGCAUCGUUUAUUCAUCGAGUCCCAGGGGGGACCGUCGAGUCGCGGGUGCAUUAUUCGUCGAAGGCAAAAUAGGUGGGCAUGAAGCGCUAAACUUCGACCAGAAGCGCGAACAAAGCGCGCGGGUUUUAAUUUUCCUCCCAUAAAUCGUGAGAUAUGAUCUGCCCGAAGAUUUAACGUCGUCCAAAGUGAAUGAUAAUGAGAAACGAGCCCUUCUGUCCGGCCGUUCUCUCGCCGGCGAUAUAUUCUCGUACGUGAAUCGUGUUCGUUUCGCGCGUCCGUUUCGCUUCACUUCGGUUAGGAAAAUAGCGAAGUUAAUGAAUGGACGUGAGGAAUGUGUCAUGUUUAUCGCAUUUCUUAAUUGCCCACUUUAAAGUUAAAUCGCGAAAUUCGCGAAUAUCAUCGGAUGUUGACUGUCAUUGUCAAGUUAAUAAUGUAUACAGCGUAUUGAGAAAUUAUAUGGUACAUGACAUGCGUAAUAUCGUGGACAUGCAUAGAUGAUGUUUCGAUAAUUCUCGUCGAAACAAUUGGUGAGAUUCUAACUAGAGCAUUUUGCAACAUUGACAAUCCGACGUACAGAAUACGUUUUGUCGAUGUCACGAAACGUUACGUAUAUAUGCUGAUGAGGUUUUUUUCAAUUGCUGUUUAUCCUAAGAUAUUCUGAUUGACACAAUGGGAAAUGAUGCCUUAUACAUAUGGAUAACCAAUCUUUCUGAAGACUAUAAUGCAUUAUCUAGGGAAAUUAUGUAAGAGCACUAUUGCUGUCCCAAUUUUUAAAUGAGAAAGAGAGAGAUUUGUUUUAAUAUUACAUGGCCGCUCCCGACGUCCGGCGAUGAUCAAUAAUAAUUUCUGUCGUGUUAUUUUCGAUACCACUUCGUUUCAAUUCUACCGAUUGAAGUGGCCCGCUAAAAGUCAGGCAAUGCAAUAUGCAACCGAUAAUCAUAUCAUGCCUCGUUUCGACACUACAGAACAUUUCGGUACUGAAUUGCAUACACAGUUCCCCUUAAAUGGAUUAAACUUAACUUAUUUAUUGAAUCGAAUAAUGAAAUUACCGCAUAUGCGAAAUAAUUUCUACCGCCGCGUUAUUUUCAAUAUCGCGAUCAGAUCCACCAAAUCCGUCAGUUUAAUUAAUUGUCAAGUAAUAAAAUAUGUGGAGUAACGUAUCGUAUUUUUUAUCAUGUUUAAAUACGCAAGUGGCGUAAGAAUUACACGUUUAUUUUCUGACAACAAUUCAGGUUUAACCACGAAGGAAAAUAUCCAAUUUUUUAUUGAUCAUUUCUCGGAAUGGGUAAAAAUAACCUUUGUCAAAAUAGUUAUUGUAAAAACGAUCUUCAACGUUUUUCAAUUAUGAAAGAUUGACUUGAAAGAUUAAAUACGCGCAACAUCCCAUUUAUAGGAUUUGUUUUUUCGAUAAAACUUUCAGUUUUGCCUGUAAAAAUUUAAAACUAAAAGUUGAUCAAACCAAUCUCAGUGUCUAAUGUGAGGACAGCUAGAAUUGAAAACUUGAUUGGACCAUAAAUGGAUGCUCAUGUUUGUUCGUGCAGAAUUCAUGACCGCGGCGACCAGUAAGAACUUAAUUACACGCUGACGUAAAACUGACGGAUAAGAGAACUCUCGACUGGGGAAGCCGAUCGCAGCUGCCGCGGAAGACUACUUUAAUGAGCUAUCGUUUGAGCCUUUACUGCCGCUCGUCUUUCGCCGCGGAAGUUACGGCCCGAACUUCGUUCUUGGUCCAGCCGGCGCCUUCAGCAGCAAUCUCGUCGCCGUUGUCAGGCCGGGCCGGGGGAUUAUUAUUUCUGUUGCAGAAGCCCGUCUCAUUAAGAACCCAGGAAAUUACCCUAAAGUCGGAUUUAACCUCUUUGCUCUCAGCGUUCCCAAUUAUAGACCUUAUCUCCAGUUAUCACGUUCCUGGAUUAGGUGAGGAGUGAUGCUGAAUACAAAUUUCGCACACACGCGGUCGGCGCACGUCCACGUGUGUGCGCGUGCGCGCGGAUGCGUGGAUUAAUGAUCGAAUGUCCGUGGUAUCGUCGUGGUCGUGACGAAUGGAUCAAGGCUCUCCGGUGUGACCGGCGAAUGGUGACAGACCCCCCGUGAAGAGAAACGGUCUCAGAGACACCAUUUACGGCGAAAGAAGGACGCUCAAGGGGCUAGUUCUUCCUCCAUAUAUGCCAUGGCGUUUACCGUCGAACGAUGUGACGAUCAAUUUUUAAAACCACCUGAAACACUCGCUGGCAGGUGCUGCUGGGAUAUUUUAGGGUUUGCGGAAUGUCGAUGGCCCAUCGAUGACGCUGACAUUCCCUCCAAGCACCGUAUGUAACACGCUUAUAUUUAUUAUACGUAUUUGCGAGUCAAUUUUUUAACGGCACCCAUUCUGUGGACGGUUUCACGUGGAAAAAAAAAAUUAUUCAGAUAAUUUGAAAGCCAUCUAAAAUCUUCGCAUAUGAAUUCCGCGAAUGUUGCCAUAUAAAGUUACCGAAAUGCACAAUUCACGUUUCCAAACCGAGCAAUUUAAUUUAAUUUAAUUUAAUUAUUAACGUCAUGUGUUUUAUACUACCGGUAUUUAGUUUUAAUUAUUUUUUAUUUAGAAUAUAAUAAUAACUCUUUCACGUGCAAAUAACAAGAGAAGUAGGACUUAAUAUACAGAAAAGAGAAAGCAAAUAUAGAAUAAGUAAUAUGGGGAAAAAAUGUUCUUUAAAAGGUGAAACAUUUGUAUAACGUUUCCUUAAACUCAAAUCUGUAAUAGAAUAGAAGUAAAAUAAUAGCACAUGCCUACACAGAUAAAAUAAAAUUACAAAUAUAGUGUAACAAAAUAAAAUAGUAACACGAGGUAAUAUAUAUAUAACAAAGAAACAGCAAAAUAAAAAAUUGUUAGCUAAAUAAUAGAAAAAGAGUAAAAGACUGCAAAAAAACUCGACAUCUAACAGAAAACAAAUGAAAUUACAAAAAAAAACGACCUGAUAGUCACGGAGAGAUUUAAAUAAAAAAAGUUCUGUAUGUUAAAACCGAUUGGAAAAUAACGUCGAUUUCUCUCGCGUGCAUAUACAAAGUGGCGCGCGUGGAAACUAGAGGAUUUGGUGCUCUGCAUGCCGUAUCGGUAACGAUAAACACGGCGAUAGACAUUCGGCCGCGUUCCCGGCCGUCGCGCGACUUUACUCCCCGGCUUCGAAUUCUUCUACGAGAAACGGAAUUCGCGCAAUCGAGGCCUGAGAAUGCUCCCCUCGGUUUACAUAAGGUGUUCAUGCAUUUAUUCGCGUCCUUACGUAGAACCUUUAAUAAUACAUGGCAGAUAAGGAUGCCGAAUGGAGUUUCGUAUGCGGCGGCGCACGGUUCACUUUUCAUGUGCAUCCGCAUGAGCAUAUCGCGGAGGAGAUAUUGGGAUGCGCAUAAGUUCGUGAACAUUAUGUGCGUCGUCGUCUACAUAGUGACUUCUGAAAAUAGUGCAUUAAAGAUACAGACAAACCGACGGAGUCAAAAUAUUAUCUGAGAGAAUAUUAUUUUUAUUAUGAACACGUUACUUCGUCGACAACUUAGACAUUCUUUUAUCCUCGGUGUUUUGAUUCUCGAUCGUUUAAUUCCUUAAUUUCUACUCUGUGCUCGUUUUCUUUUUAAUACUGUAAUUUCUUUCCUUUUAGUAAAUGUUCAAAGACGAUAAGUGUAUUGUGAAAAGAUGGACAAAAGUCCGUUACGUAUUUAUUUCAUGCCUGAAGGAACAAGAUAGACAAGACACAUGGGACCGGCUGUCGAGGAAUUUUGAAAUAACAUUCAGAAGAUUUUAUGUAGUUUUAUGUUAAAGAAAAGAAUAGUAUCCCGAUCUAUAACACCUUUUGUUACCUUUGGUUACCAGAUCAAAAUAGAAAUCAUAAAGUGAAAAAUUAUUUAUUUAUUGAUUUGCACGUAAAAAAGUUGCAGCUCAAUUUUAUCCGGGAUAUGUUAACUGAGAUUGUGCAUUAAGAUACAAUAUGAAGAAUAAUUUAUCUACAUUUUUUUUCCCAAAAUAAUUAAAAAAUGUUUUGAAUACUCAAUUCAAGGUAAUUAGAGGAAUUAGAUACGUUUUACAGGAGACGUUAGAGCUAGUUGACCAAUUUUUCAAUUUUAAAUUUUACAGACAAAACCGACAUGCUAUUUACCGAAAAAACAAA